UUUUCCAGUGUUGACUAAAAGCAAGCAGCAAGCUUGAAGCAUUACUUAACAGUGUAAUGAAAAACGUCAGUUCAAGCAAAUACUUUUUUUUUUAACAGAAUUUGUUUUCUUUGUUGUGUUGCAGAAAAAGGAACGGUGGCUGAGUUGCACAAGUGAACCAGGACGACACAAAAUUAAGUCAAAGAGGAAUGCUCAUUUUCCUAUUUUCUGUUCAGAGACUCAGCUGGCUGGAGGCAGAGUCAGAGGUGGGUCCUGUCCCCAGUUCCAGCAGGAUCUCAUUAUCCAAGAAGAUAAUCUCUGAAAAUCAUCCUUCAAUCAGCUGAUCGUUUUACAUCCAGCUUUUUGGGAGUUAAUAACACAGCCAACCUACAGCAACACAUCACACAGCAACGGCAGCAAGGCAUCCCUGUAGCAGGGAGUGUUUUCCUGGAUGUCCUGGUGAGUUCAGCAAUGUACUGCUUGCUUUUCCCACUGUUCCAUAUGGGGUAACUAAAAGCAAGGGCUUUUGUAAGCAAGUGGAGCAACUUUUGAAUAUUCAGAGGAAUUUCUGAGGUUGUGGCUGAUUGUUGGAUGCAAAUCUACCUUCCUUUUAUCCCCUCCAGAUUUUUUUAAUGUGUAUGAAGUAUAUUGAAAGCUGGAGAAGGAAUUUUGGCAGGGAGAUGGAGUGACAGGAUAAGGGGGAAUGGCUUUGAACACAGAGCCGGGUUAGAUUAGGUAUUAGGAGGAAAUUUUCCCCUGUGAGGUUGGUGAGGCCCUGGCACAGGGUGCCCAGAGAAGCUGUGACUGUCCCUGGAUCCCUGGCAGUGUCCAAGGCCAGGUGGGAUGGGGCUUGGAACAACCCAGGACAGUGGAAGGUGUCCCUAUGGUCUUUAUUUCUAAUUAAGAUAAUCAAAAACCAAAAGGGACUUUUGUGACCUCUUUCAAGUCUUUUGCUUCCCAUCCAUUCAUGAAAUCCACCCUCAUGCUCUGUCUCUUUUCAGACAGAGCUUUGAGAAGUGGUAAAUAUUGUGUUUAGUACCAAAGACUGUAGGUCAAGCCCUUAAAUUAAUGGAACAAAUUUUUGAAAUGUGGAAAACAUAAACUGGCUAGCAGCAUGGGGGGGGUUGCAGCAGGAUGCAGAGCUCUGUAUGUUUUAGGGGGUUUGACAGAUGUUCUUGUGCAGGUUAAAAGCUGUGCAGAAUGAUGUGUUGGAAGUGUGACUUGCAAGUAAUCACCAUGUUUUGAGAACAUCCACUGCCUAAGUAGCUCCCAUGCAGACAAUUGCUUAAAUGAUUUCUUGUGGGAAGUCCUUGAAGGAGCAGAUGGAUCUGUUUGGAGUUUUGC
This 1323-nucleotide long non-coding RNA is filed under the name Junco hyemalis (dark-eyed junco). RNAcentral's name for it is "lncRNA (ENSJHYG00000017464.1)". The record is from RNAcentral. Lineage: Eukaryota; Metazoa; Chordata; Aves; Passeriformes; Passerellidae.